This 253-nucleotide ribosomal RNA is filed under the name uncultured bacterium. RNAcentral's name for it is "partial 16S ribosomal RNA". It matches the Rfam family "Bacterial small subunit ribosomal RNA", at positions 524 to 776 of the family's 1533-position model. The record is from RNAcentral.
UACGAAGGGUGCUAGCGUUGUUCGGAAUCAUUGGGCGUAAAGCGUGCGUAGGCGGUUUAGUAAGUCAACUGUGAAAGCCCAAGGCUCAACCUUGGAAUUGCAGCUGAAACUGUUAGACUAGAGUAUGAAGAGGGAUAGUGGAAUUCCUAGUGUAGGGGUGAAAUCCGUAGAUAUUAGGAGGAACACCGGUGGCGAAAGCGACUAUCUAUGUCAUCACUGACGCUGUUGCACGAAAGCGUGGGUAGCAAACAGG